RNAcentral lists this ribosomal RNA (253 nucleotides) under uncultured bacterium. RNAcentral's name for it is "partial 16S ribosomal RNA". It matches the Rfam family "Bacterial small subunit ribosomal RNA", at positions 524 to 776 of the family's 1533-position model. The record is from RNAcentral.
UACGUAGGGUGCGAGCGUUGUCCGGAAUUAUUGGGCGUAAAGAGCUUGUAGGCGGUCUGUCGCGUCUGCUGUGAAAAUCCGGGGCUCAACCCCGGACUUGCAGUGGGUACGGGCAGACUAGAGUGUGGUAGGGGAGACUGGAAUUCCUGGUGUAGCGGUGGAAUGCGCAGAUAUCAGGAGGAACACCGGUGGCGAAGGCGGGAUCCUGGGCCAGUACUGACGCUGAGGAGCGAAAGCGUGGGGAGCAAACAGG